Molecule: long non-coding RNA, 4189 nt
Organism: Perognathus longimembris pacificus (Pacific pocket mouse)
Lineage: Eukaryota; Metazoa; Chordata; Mammalia; Rodentia; Heteromyidae
Exons: 2
Source: RefSeq, a predicted model, not a curated record
CUGGCUUUGAGCCACUGUCCUUGGAUUUCAGCCUCCUGAGUAGCUAGGAUUAUAAGCAUGAACAACCAGCACCCAGCCAUCUUGGUUUGUUUUUAAUAAUAAAAGAAAAAGAAUAGUAAAUCAUGAAUAAAUGAAGAAACUGUGUUGUCUACAAAGACAAAUACAGGAAGUAAAAUAGGCCAACUAUGGAGAACAGCGAUGGCUCAAAAUUCAUCCUGUUAUUCACAGAAAUAAUAGGGAACCUGUGAACAAUAUGAUGCUCAGAUACUACUGGUAGAACACUGGCUGCUGAGCAUUCUGGUAAUCAAAUACAUAAGAUUUUUUUUUAAACCUAGCAUUGUAAACCCAGGAAUUUAUACAAAAAUAAGUAAAAUAUCCUACAAACAAAAUUCAACAGAAACAUUACUGAAAAUGAAGUCAACAGCAUUACUAUAGUAUGGAUUGUCUGCAGCAACUUUUGUUUUCCAUAGGUGGUUCAACCCUGAGGAUAUAGUAACUGCAUACUCUGUGUGAUUAUCAUCACUUAUCCAACAGAUAUGCUUCAGUGCUUCCUAUAUAAUGUGGGAGAGGAUGAGGAUAAUAAUAGCAGAAGAUCGUGUUGUUGAAUAAAAUGAAGUUGAAGGAGGAGGGAAUUAUGGGUGUAUGAUGAGCAAAACUAGAAUCUUAAAGAACAAUUCAAGGUCUAAUUUAGGGUAUUAGCAGAAGAACAGAAGAAAGAGUUAGAAGACCCAGGCAACACUGAAAAGGAGAAGGUAACUCAAUUCAGAGCCUGUAUAUGGAUGGGUAAAGGAAAGACAGGUCAUUGUGCUGUCAUUAGAUUAUGCCAUUAACAGAAAAGGUCUGUCAGAGGGAUUCUGGUAGAAAGCAAGUACUAGAGAUAUUUUCUGACACAUCAAAUUUGAGACAGUAAGAUAUCUAAAUACCAAUGUCUAGCUGAUCAUUAAAAGUCAUAGAGCAGGAGUUUGGGCAGGGCUUUGGCUGGGAAAGUGAGACUAACUUGUCUAAAUUGCUUACAGGGAAUAGUCAGAGUCAAUAACAAUGCAUUGAUUCUCAGCCAGCCAGGAAGAAGAAUAGAUGAAAGAAGAAAUCUGUACUCUGGGCAGUUGCAAUGAUAAGAAUCAACGUCAGAAUACUUUUGCAGAUCUAUAAAUCUGACUAAUAAAAUAGUAAAAUGAAAACCAAGACAUGAUAGUACAACAGAAGUCAACAGUAGAUAGAACUUGAGGGAGAAGGAAGUUGGCUAUAUUAGACCAAACUAAGAGUGUGUGGCUUUGUGCUGCUGUAAAGGCAGAAUGCUGUAAGGUAUAAGAAAGGGGUUCUGCAGACUUCUUGUUCUCCACAUGCAACAGUAAAAAGGAGAGAUGUAGAGAUGUAGAGAUGGUAGCUAUAGAAAGGAUUACACAACACCAUUUUAAAGGAGCCACUGAAAAUUGCAUAGACCAUGAAUCCAAUGAAAUUUGCUCGUAUGUUUAUUUACUUGCAUAUUUAUUGAUUUAUUUUUGCACAGGUUUCUCAAUUUUUCUUAAAAGGAAUAGCACCAAGUUAUAUUCAUUCCAGAUUAUAUAAAAGCUGGAUUGACUAGUUGAUCUAGGAAUGAAGUUAAAACACAAGUAUUACUUAAGCUGACAAAACCAGUCCUCAAAAUUACUUUGCAUUUGAGAGCACAGCACUGGUACAGCCUGUAACACCAGCUAGGCACAAAGCAUAGGUAGCAAGAACGAAGCCUUAGGCUGGCCUUGGGCAAAAAGCUCAAAAACUUAUCUGAAAACUUAAAUAGAUAAGAGCUGGGAAUCUAGUCUAAGGGAUAAAGCACUUGCCUAGCAAGUAAGAAGUCCAGAGUUCAAGGCCCAGUCCAGUACUGCCAACAAAUAAGCAAACAAAACUGCAUUUGAGAAAAAAAAAAAACAACUAAUAGGAGCAAAGAAAAGUUUAAUAGAACAGUAAAGCUAUCUACCUCUUCCAUCUACUUCUAGGUGAGUUCAGUUGUUCCCGUCUUCCUUUUAGUUUAAAUAAAUGCUUAGAUGCUUCUAUAUAAUGACACUGGAGGCAUUGGUGAAGUCUUGUGGGUAAAGUGUGCCACGCUGGACAAUAAAGGGAUAAGUCAGAGUUUGAACAGAUGUGGGCUUUAUGGUUUUUUUCACCUCUAUACCACUCCAUAGGCAAAGCAGUAGACAGCGGAUAGUCAGGAGAUAAGGGGACAACUAAGUGGACAGUGUUCUGCUGUCUGCUCCUCUUCUCAUGAGGGGAAUAGGAAGUUCUCGUGAAGUUAAGAACCUGAUGGGCCAGAGCAGCUCAGACUUAGCUCCUUGCUUCUCAUCUCAUCAGGCUGUUGAGUAAAGCAUACAUCCACAUUCCAGAACUGCACUGCAGCUGUUACAGUUAGUUCUACAUUUGUUUUCCUCCAUUUUCUGGACCAUGGUAGACCUGGCCCUAUUCUACUUUAAAAUAUGAAUAUACUCUUCAUGAUUUCCUAAGACAGGUCACCUGAAAAGAGAAUCUAUUUCUGAAAAGAUAUGCUUUUCCCCCCCUACACAGAAUAACUGGAUGAAGUGAUCCUAACACGCUGAAAAUAACUAUGGUCCAAUUGAUAUGUUACAUGAUUUAUGUGUAUUUACCUUUCAUUUACCAGGUCAUAUUACAUUUCUUAUAUAUUCUUCUCUAAUGACUCAGGAUUUUUUAAUCAACAUGUAUUUUACUAUGCAUCUAUCAUGACACUAGACAAUAUAGGGCUUUGAAAAGCAGUUUAAUUUUAAAGAAACAAACUUCAAUAAUAAAGUUCUCUUGAUAAUUUAAGACACAGAGUACUCAGGCAACGUCUGUUCUCUCACACAUCACUGCUCUUCUGUGUGUACUGCUUUACCAAAGCUUGGUGAAAAGGGAAAGGGUCUAGAUUUGCCAAGAUGGACCCAACACAACAGCAUGUUUCAUAUGGAGAACUAGCUGACAUGAAUCCUGCACAGAGCUUGCAGCUAUUACAUGGGAUGCAUUCAGAAAGGACUGGAAAUCAGUGAGAAGAUAUCAAGUCUGUAAGAACAAAGGCAAAUACUGCUGAUGGGGGGAUUUUUCUUUCCUGAUUUAACCAAACAUAUACCUGCAGAGCUCUAAGAGACUCAUGGGCCUUAAUUUUCCUUCUUAACAAGAAUGCUGCCUAUCAACAAAAGUUAAGCAUUUCAUAGGGAGUUAGAUUUUUUUUUUAAUUAUGUGGAAGUCCAGUUAAGCUUAUUUCAAAAUUGGUUAGCUACAGAAGUAAGCAGCACAACAGGAUUUUAACUAUUGAAUUGUAUCAGUUUGUAAUCUCCACAACCAGUAGAGACCCAGACCAACACCAGACAAGAUAGCCUUUAGAAAGGAACUGUGCAAAUGGCCUCAGGCAGCUAGCUGGCUUUGACUUUCUACCCAACUGCUCCCAGCUGAGGAGAAAAAGCUCCUAGACCUCAGGUAUAUACAAGUUUUAUUUUUAAAACUCACUAAAGUUAGUGUAACUGAAUUGCAAUACAAAGUAUUUUAAGUUAAUUUUAAUGUAACAACAGCCAACAUUUACUGAAUAGUAAUUAGUGAUGCAGUCUUUGUGUUCAGGGUUUCUACAAAUGAGCUUUCUUACUUCUGACUAAGCCUUGACUCAGGCAGCUUUAAGUCCUGCUCUUGACUAGGUCUGACCUUGGGCUUCUUUUACUAUCCUUGCUGAAUUCAGUAUGAACAGAAUUCUGCUAAGUCAGUUUAGAGAAAAUCCCCACCAUGGGUAUCUGAUCACCCCAGCCUGCUUUGAGUAACAAAUGCUGUCUAAUCAGUUUAACCAGAAAGCCCUUCACACCUGCUGUUUCCUCUUUGCAAUCUUCCAUUCACUGAUCCCAGCUCACUCCUUGGUAAUAAUUCCUCACUUGUCCUUACAGACAUCAGAGUGGAGUUCAAUCUUUCUUCCCCUAGGCAGGACCUGUUGCAAUCUCUCUAUACCCAUCAACGUGCCUCCCACCCACUGAAUGAAGUCUGCAUAUACAGUCUUUAACAAUGGGUAGAUGGAAGUUUUCAACACCUUUCAAGAUAGUAGGCCCUAUUCCUAUUAUCAUCUUAUUAUAUGAGGAAAUGAAACUCAGAGAAGUUAGAAAAUUUUCUAAAGACUAUACAACUAAUUAGUGGCAGAGAUGGGAUUCAGUCCCACACAAUAUUCUAUUUAUUCUUCUCCAUUAUAUAA